Molecule: long non-coding RNA, 319 nt
Filed under: Homo sapiens (human)
Lineage: Eukaryota; Metazoa; Chordata; Mammalia; Primates; Hominidae
Description: non-protein coding lnc-CRYAA-14:1
Source: RNAcentral
CCGCGCUUGGCCAUUUUCUUCUUUAGUGACCAAAAUUCCUCCCCUUAGGCAUUUUUGGUCAUUCAGAAGGAAAAUCUAAAUUAUGGACACUUGUGCUUCUAGAGCAGACAUGCAUCUGCAGAGACGGCAGCUGGAUUCGUGGACAAUGCUUAUGGUGCCACCUUCUGUCAGUAUCUAGAAACAUGGUCUCACUUAACCCGUGAAGACCCCAGACUAUAAUAGCUAAAAUGGGUAGAAGCUUCUAAAAGAAGUUCUGAUGAAGUCAUUUCUUUGCAAGAAGAAAACAGAAGAUUAUCUGAAACUAUUUCUUUUGUUUGUU